GAACAGACCGAGGAGAACAUAGUAUUUUGUUUCGUAUGUUUUUAAGAGUGCGACGAAGCUAUAGAGAGCCAGAGAAAUCCAGAAAAGUUGCGGCACAUCCACGUUGGCAUUGUGGGAGUAGUAAAUAAUU
RNAcentral lists this unclassified non-coding RNA (130 nucleotides) under uncultured fungus. RNAcentral describes it as "sequence contains ITS1". The record is from RNAcentral. Lineage: Eukaryota; Fungi.